RNAcentral lists this ribosomal RNA (253 nucleotides) under uncultured bacterium. Its description in RNAcentral is "partial 16S ribosomal RNA". It matches the Rfam family "Bacterial small subunit ribosomal RNA", at positions 524 to 776 of the family's 1533-position model. The record is from RNAcentral.
UACGAAGGGUGCAAGCGUUACUCGGAAUUACUGGGCGUAAAGCGUGCGUAGGUGGUUUGUUAAGUCUGAUGUGAAAGCCCUGGGCUCAACCUGGGAACUGCAUUGGAUACUGGCUUACUAGAGUGCGGUAGAGGGUGGCGGAAUUCCCGGUGUAGCAGUGAAAUGCGUAGAUAUCGGGAGGAACAUCCGUGGCGAAGGCGGCCACCUGGACCAGCACUGACACUGAGGCACGAAAGCGUGGGGAGCGAACAGG